Molecule: ribosomal RNA, 497 nt
Filed under: uncultured bacterium
Lineage: Bacteria
Description: partial 16S ribosomal RNA
Rfam family: Bacterial small subunit ribosomal RNA
Source: RNAcentral
GAUGAACGCUGGCGGCGUGCCUAAUACAUGCAAGUCGAGCGAACGGACGAGAAGCUUGCUGCUCUGAUGUUAGCGGAGGACGGGUGUGUAACACGUGGAUACCCUACCUAUAAGACUGGGAUAACUUCGGGAAACCGUAGAUAAUACCGGAUAAUCUCUUGAACCGCAUGGUUCAAUAGUAAAAGACGGUCUUGCUGUCACUACUAGCUGGAUCCGCGCUGCAUUAGCUAGUUGGUAAGGUGACGGCUUACCAAGGCAACGAUGCAUAGCCGACCUAAGGGGGUGAUCGGCGACACGGGAACGGGGACACGGUCCAUGCUCCUACGGGAGGCAGCAGUAGGGAAUCGUCCGCAGUGGUCGAAAGCCUGGCGGAGCGACGGCGCGUGAGUUAUGGAGGUCUUCGGAUCGUAAAGCUCUGUUAUGAGUGAAGAACAUAUGUGUAAGUAACUGUGCACAGCGUGACGGUACCUAAUCAGAAAGCCACGGCUAACUACGUG